GGGUUUGUAGCUCAGUGGAUUAGAGCACGUGUUUCCGAAACCCGUUGUCGAGGGUUCAAUUCCCUCCUUACCCA
RNAcentral lists this transfer RNA (74 nucleotides) under Pleurastrosarcina brevispinosa. Its description in RNAcentral is "Chlorosarcina brevispinosa tRNA-Arg". It matches the Rfam family "tRNA". From Rfam's summary of the family: Transfer RNA (tRNA) molecules are approximately 80 nucleotides in length. Their secondary structure includes four short double-helical elements and three loops (D, anti-codon, and T loops). Further hydrogen bonds mediate the characteristic L-shaped molecular structure. tRNAs have two regions of fundamental functional importance: the anti-codon, which is responsible for specific mRNA codon recognition, and the 3' end, to which the tRNAs corresponding amino acid is attached (by aminoacyl-tRNA synthetases). tRNAs cope with the degeneracy of the genetic code in two manners: having more than one tRNA (with a specific anti-codon) for a particular amino acid; and 'wobble' base-pairing, i.e. permitting non-standard base-pairing at the 3rd anti-codon position. Lineage: Eukaryota; Viridiplantae; Chlorophyta; Trebouxiophyceae. The record is from RNAcentral.